This is a long non-coding RNA of Humulus lupulus (European hop), 1149 nucleotides long. RefSeq lists it as uncharacterized. NCBI's taxonomy places the organism in Eukaryota, Viridiplantae, Streptophyta, Magnoliopsida, Rosales, Cannabaceae. The record is from RefSeq and is a predicted model, not a curated record. The transcript is spliced from 4 exons.
UAUUUUUUUAUUACUGUUUGAAUUUCUGUUCAAACAAGUUGUUGUUCAAUUAAUAUGCAUAACAGGUUAGAUUGAAGUUGGUGUUGAGUGUUGCAUCCUCAACAAAGCUCUUGAGUCCCUUGUUACAAUUUCAGAUGACGAUAAGAAAGCCCUGUUUUCGGUGGACUGACUUGAGUUUGUUCAACCAAUGGAGUGCAUGAGCUACUAAUUUAAAUGAGUUAUUGCAGAACCACUAUGAGAGCUGCAACUGUUGAAAUCCAUAUCAGUUCAGAAUGACCAAAAUAUCAAAAUGGGAACUCAGAACAAUAUAUUCACAGCUAGAUCAGCUUCUAUCAGGGAGUAAUUUUAAGUUCACAAGUUUAUGGAUUCAAUUCAAGAGAUGGAAGUCACACUUGGGAAAGCUAUAAGAUUGGGACAAGUUUAUGGGUUCACACAUGCUGCUGGAUAUUCUUCAGGCUUUGGUGGAUUGGGAGCCAUGAGGCACAUUAAAGUGUCCCUCCAACUUGCAGAUUUCGACACAUAAAGAUCAAAGUUGCUAAGGAACUGAACUUUUUUCAUCUUGUCACGAGAGUAGAACUCCAUCUUCAGUUUCUGCUGUUGCUCAUUGAAUUUUCUUACUCCUUCAAUCAUUUCAUCCAACACAUCUUGAGGUAUCCCAUGGUUAAUAACUUCGAAGAAUCCCCAUGACUCACAUGCUUCUCUGAUUUCGCCAACGAUCGUUUCAUCCAUAUUUUGAAGGUCCACAGUUGGUGCUUUGAACUGGGGGUAGCCUCCUGAGUGACCAUCUGACAUAAUAGAUGAUGAAUAAUCUUCAGGUGGCAUAACAAAGAUUUCAGGAAGAGUAGCAAUCCCAGCAUCAACAAGUCCUUUCACACCAGCCUUUGUGUCAUCAAAGUCUCUCAAUGCUUUUGCUCUGUCAUAAACCUCUUUACUCUCAGCUUCUGAAUUCUCUUCUUCUAGAUUGAAAUCCAUUUUUGUUAACUUAGAAGCCUCUUCCCUUGAACUUAUUCUGCUUUAAAUUGAUGUAGUUGUAUUUAGUUAAGUAAAAAUAAUAAUAUCUGUUGUAUGUGCUUAUGGAACGUACAGAGAAUUGUCAAUAUUGAUUCAAUUUGAAUAGAGAAAUUGGGAUAGUAAAGCUAUAUUGAUUCA